RNAcentral lists this ribosomal RNA (361 nucleotides) under uncultured bacterium. RNAcentral's name for it is "bacterial SSU rRNA". It matches the Rfam family "Bacterial small subunit ribosomal RNA", at positions 8 to 353 of the family's 1533-position model. The record is from RNAcentral.
AGAGUUUGAUCCUGGCUCAGGAUGAACGCUAGCUACAGGCUUAACACAUGCAAGUCGGAGGGGAAACGAUAUUGGAAGCUUGCUUCCGAUAGGCGUCGACCGGCGUACGGGUGAGUAACGCGUAUCCAACCUGCCCACCACUUGGGGAUAACCUUGCGAAAGUAAGACUAAUACCCAAUGACGUCUCUAGAAGACAUCUGAAAGAGAUUAAAGAUUUAUCGGUGAUGGAUGGGGAUGCGUCUGAUUAGCUUGUUGGCGGGGUAACGGGCCCACCAAGGCGACGAUCAGUAGGGGUUCGUGAGAGGAAGGCCCCCCACCAUUGGAACUGAGACACGGUCCAAACUCCUACGGGAGGGCAGCA